UCCAGGUGUGGUGGCGCACGCCCGUAAUCCCAGCAGCUCAGGAGGCUGAGGCAGGAGGAUUGCAAGUUCAAAGCCAGCCUCAGCAACUUAGUGAGGUCAUAAGCAACUCAGAGAGACCCUGUCUCUA
This 127-nucleotide small RNA is filed under the name Marmota monax (woodchuck). The record is from RNAcentral. Lineage: Eukaryota; Metazoa; Chordata; Mammalia; Rodentia; Sciuridae.